This 230-nucleotide non-coding RNA is filed under the name Nitratireductor indicus. The record is from RNAcentral. Lineage: Bacteria; Pseudomonadati; Pseudomonadota; Alphaproteobacteria; Hyphomicrobiales; Phyllobacteriaceae. RNAcentral also lists the same sequence under 1 other name.
CAGGGUAAUUGUUCACACGGUUCCCGCGAUGCCGAGCGCGAAGCGGGAUGAAAAGGGAAUGUGACGGGUGGACCCAGACCGGGCAUCCAAACCACAGCCGACCCCGCGACUGUAGAAUGGCGCGGCGCCAUAACUCCCGAAAACGGGAGCGCCACUGGAAACAUCCGGGAAGGCGAUAGCGCUGGAAAACCGCCAUGAGCCAGGAGACCUGCCAUGUGAACGGACGGAGA